GCCAGUGUGGCGCAGUGGUUUGAGUAUUGGAUUACAACUGGAGAGCAGGGUUCAAAUCCCAGCUCAGCCA
This is a non-coding RNA of Phrynosoma platyrhinos (Desert horned lizard), 70 nucleotides long. NCBI's taxonomy places the organism in Eukaryota, Metazoa, Chordata, Lepidosauria, Squamata, Phrynosomatidae. The record is from the annotation of a GenBank genome assembly.